Non-coding RNA from Oryza nivara, 216 nucleotides. The record is from Rfam. NCBI's taxonomy places the organism in Eukaryota, Viridiplantae, Streptophyta, Magnoliopsida, Poales, Poaceae.
UUUGAGCGUAACCACGAGUUUUAAUUCCUUGUUCAAUUUUUGAUUGUCUGUUUCUUUUCAAAUUCUUUUAUCAUUAGUAUUUUUGUUGUUUUUAGUUGAUAAAACAUGAAUAAUACUUUAUGCGUGACUUUUUUUUUAACUUUUUUCAAAAAAAAAAAUAAAUUCAAAUAAGACGGACGAUAAAAGUUGGACAUGGAACUCAUGGUUGCGUUUAAA